This 339-nucleotide unclassified non-coding RNA is filed under the name soil metagenome. Its description in RNAcentral is "partial contains 5.8S ribosomal RNA, internal transcribed spacer 2, and large subunit ribosomal RNA". The stretch from base 1 to 120 matches the Rfam family "5.8S ribosomal RNA", at positions 35 to 154 of the family's 154-position model. The record is from RNAcentral.
GAUGAAGAACGUAGCGAAAUUCGAUAACUAAUGUGAAUUGCAGAAUUCAGUGAAUCAUCGAGUCUUUGAACGCACAUUGCGCCCCCUGGUAUUCCGGGGGGCAUGCCUGUCCGAGCGUCAUUGCUGCCCUCAAGCACGGCUUGUGUGUUGGGCUCCGUCCCCCCGGGGACGGGCCCGAAAGGCAGCGGCGGCACCGAGUCCGGUCCUCGAGCGUAUGGGGCUUUGUCACCCGCUCUGUAGGCCCGGCCGGCGCCAGCCGACAACCCAUCAUCCUUUUCAGGUUGACCUCGGAUCAGGUAGGGAUACCCGCUGCACUUAAGCAUAUCAAUAAGCGGAGGA